UCCCUGGAGGACUAGUGGUUAGGCCACGACGCUCUCACCACCGUGAUCUGGGUUCAAAUCCCAGCCAGGGAA
Molecule: non-coding RNA, 72 nt
Organism: Pangasius djambal
Lineage: Eukaryota; Metazoa; Chordata; Actinopteri; Siluriformes; Pangasiidae
Source: the annotation of a GenBank genome assembly